This 2201-nucleotide long non-coding RNA is filed under the name Sarcophilus harrisii (Tasmanian devil). Its description in RNAcentral is "lncRNA (ENSSHAG00000022018.1)". Lineage: Eukaryota; Metazoa; Chordata; Mammalia; Dasyuromorphia; Dasyuridae. The record is from RNAcentral.
GGAAAAACAGAAUGAAGAAAACUGUUCUCAUCUGCAAAAAAGACAAAAAAAAGCAAUGAGCUCUAUCUGUCCAUAUUUGCUUUUAUAACUUUCCACCUGAUGUCAAAUAAUUUUACUUCUGCCACUUCACAAUAGUUCGUAAGCUGCAUCCUUUUCAAUACUUCCAAUCUUUUGACACUUCAGCUCUUCUUGAAGGAGUACAUUUCAGCUAUGGACAGCUUCUGGCCAAUACAGGUGUUUCUAAUAUAAGAAAUACCUCUUCCCUCCCUCCCUGCCAAGGGCUUAUCUUACCUUCUAUUUCCUUUUAUGGGACCCUGUGUGGACCUUGUAUUUUUCAGACACUUCAGGAACAAUUUGAGUGUAACAUCAUGCCUUUUGAACUGAUUUUUGCCCCUCCAAUAUUUUAGUGAUUACUGAAUGCAGUCAUGACUUGGGAAUAAGAGGGAGUCCCUUGUACAUAAAAUAAGUCUUGUGGAAAGAGUAUGUAAAUAGAUCCAUAAAAAAUGGAUGUUGUACAACCUUGGAAGUUACCAAGGAUCAUUGUGGCCAUUCAGCAAUACCUGUUAUUUGCUACAUCACUUCACCCUAAUCUUUUCUGGUCUGAUCCCAUAACUCAUGAUAUAUACUCCAGGACUCAAAGAUUUUUCACUGGACCCCAACCAUCAAGAAGCCUUUUAGGUGUGGAGUUUUCCAUCUGGAGGAAAAAACGGCCAGAACAUACCGAGUUGAGGGUCUGAGAUUGUAAAUCACAGAAGUCAUCUUGACUAUGAUAGAACCAUUCACCCACCCAGGAUAAGUAGGUAGCAAAUUGAUAUUUUACAUUAAAAGUAAUAUCUUUUAACAAAACACGUUUCAAUGAAUUUUUGGUGUUUUUUUUUUUAAGUGAGGACAAGGAUGGUUAUAGCUAUUUUUACUCUUAAAUUUUUAAAUAUGCAAAUUUCAUAUAAAAAAUAUAAGAAUAUAAGACAAAAUACAAGAAUACAACAUUCCAGAGAAACUUGGAGUUAUCAUAUAUCAAUUCUUAAUUAAUUCUAUCCCCUACCUGCUGAAAAGAAGUUUAGUGUGGGGCAGCCUUGGAUGAGAUCUGGUGUCAGUCAUGUCUUUGAUGAUAACUAUGAUUGGGAGCAGGUCAUUUAACCUUAGAGCAAUUCCUUAUGAUAGGAAGUUAAAGAUGAGGUGGUUAUAGUCUGUGUAAGUAUGCUUUUCAUUGUUUUUUUUCACUAUGUAACACUUCAUUAGAGUCUUACCAUUUGGAUUUUUUUUUUUUUUUUUAAACCUGUUUAUUAUAAAUGGUAGUCAGAGUGGUUAAUGGAUGCAACCAUUCUGACUGGUCUUGAAUUCAAGGCCAAAGUUCAAAUCCUGCAAAUUUAUACAGCUUAAAGGAUGACAAAAGGAAAAUGUUAAUAGAAAAAUUAAGCUUACUCAUAACAAAAUUGAAUUUCCAGUAAGAAGGAAGGUAGGGAAGAGAUCAAGAAGCAAUAUCCAUUGCUUGUUCUAAAGUCCUGUGUCUAUAUUUAAACCAAGAAACUAUUCUAAAAUAUACCAUGAUAAUUGAUGUAAUAUGAUUUUGUGAUCUCUUGAUUUUAGGAGGAGGGUUUCUGUUCUAACAGUAAGUCAGGAAAUCCUAAAUCAUCUGGUUUUGGGAGUCUCCUCGGACUUCCCUCACUUCCAAUCUAAAAACAACAUAUCUAUCUGAUUUUGAAUAGACCACUCCUCAAUUCAGUGCUGACUGUGUGAUAGCUUCUGGCCUCAGGAUAAUCCCAUGGACCAAAUUCCUGAGAUAAUAGUGAUAAUCUGUUGGUCAAUGAGAACCAAAUUACUUCCUACCUAUGAGCCAUAGAAUUAGCAUAUCAAUGCUGGAUAAAUGUGUCUUCUUGCUUUUUCUCUGCUGGAUUCUCUUAGAAUUCUUGUAAUGAAUUAUUACAAUAAAGUUUUGCUCCUUGGCUAAGCAUAUGGGGUCUGCAAGCCUGCAAAUUUUUCUGAGACACCUGGAAAUACCGAUCUAGGAUCCCAAACUUUUCCUCUUUUCCCAAUCUCAAUAAUGUCUUAAAAUUUCAGUAUUUGUAAUGAUGUUACCUGAUAAAAUAGAAUUAAAACUAGAAAAUAUUAGGUAAGUAUUAUACAAUGGUAAAGGGAAAAAUAAACUAAUUUUUCAUAUGCAUCAAAUUAUUCAAUUAAUUUCAUUAAAGAAAAACUAAUAG